GAUGGGAAAAGUAGUGACUGGGGGAGAUGUCUGGCAGUGAGGAUAUCUACGUGGUGACUGUGGAAUAAAUGGAUCUUCAGAGAACAAGAUAAAGGUAUGAGUGUGCAAUGACUUCAUCUGAAAAUGAACAAAUUCAGGAAAUAAAUGCAUCACUUCCAGCAAGUGAGGAUACUCAGUUCUUGGAACAUCCUCCUCCAAGUCACAGGGCCUGCUUGGGUGGGCUCAACUGUGCUUUUUGUGAAGGAGCUCAUCCCAUUCAGGGAGGAAAUGCCACCAGGAGGCCCAGUGCCAGGGCUGUGUAAUCACAAAGAUACCUUCUGACUGUAGAAGUCUCCAGAAAACACUUCCAAUUGCAAAAUUGUCAGCAGAAUUUCUCCUCACCUGUACUGAGUCGAUGAAAGUUCCCUAAGAGUAAAGCUGGUGCAGAGAGAGGCUGAAGAAUUUCCUGCCUUCAGUACAGAGUCAAUUACUCGUUUGCAUUUGCAUAACAAAUGUGGGAGAUGGCUUUAAUCAGCUCUGGGCAUGAAAGAGCUGUGAACGGUCUGUCCCUGAGGGUCUGCAAGAUUUCAGUGCCAGGGAAGUCAGGCCUCUGGGCUGAAGUAACUCUCCUCCAACACGUCCAGGAUGCAUAAAACAAGCAUGAGAUAGAUGCCAAUGACAUUUAGGUGGGCAGUCAGAAUUCUUCAAUCCCAGCUCAACUGAUCAGCCAUUAAAUAUUAGUUAGGUAACUUUAUCUGUGGCAAGUAAUAGCAGAGACAACAGCUUGAAAAUAACAUUCUUGGAGCCUUAUUUCCUUUAAGUUGACCAACAAUGCGUAAACAAAGGUCCUUGAGCUUGUGGUGGGAGGACAGAGCUCUGAGAGGUGACCUUGAGUUCUGCCAGAAGAUGGAGAAGGCUAUUCCUUCCUUUUCCUAACUAGAAGGCAUGUUGUGAUCUGGCAGUGCAUCGAAAACAAGGAAAACAAAGCAUUUUCCCCAUUGUCCUUUAUUACCCUCUAAUCAUUUACUGUUUGGAGGGCAAAACCCUGAAAGAAUUCAAAUUAGAUUAUGCAACAUCGUGAAGCAUAAAACCUGAUUGUGUUAAGUCUAGGCAGAACUUCCAAAUGGAAGUUGGAACAUGCCUCAGUCUGUACGUCUCAGAUGUCCUGCACAGCAGUAGUGGCUACACAGAAGUGCUUGGAUAGGGUCUGAGUGUGCAAGUUUUACCCCAGGAAUUGUGGAUAACUAAUUAGUGGGCACAUCAGAGUGUUUCUUUGCUCUAGUAUUUCAAUUUUCUGGCUGUGUCAAUCAGCUUGUGCUUCCACUGAAUUACAGUGGUUAUUAGAAAUUUCUGCUGUGAUCUUUAAAUAUCAGCUGUGUCAUAAAUAUUUUAUGACAUUUUCAGUGACAAAUGAUGAGUUUAAUCAGACUCCAGAGAAAUCUGUUGGAGCUAGGAGAGCACUCUAGGGCAGAGAGAACAGCAGUGUGAGGUUCCUGGGAGCUUUCAUACUCUCCUGAGCUAACGAGAAAUGCUCUUUGUGCCUACACCCUGACACAGAGAUGCGCACUCCUGCUGCGUGAGUAUCCCUCUCCCUCAGUCACAGCCUGUGCCCAUCUCUGCUGCAGCAACCAUCACAGACCACCCGUGCUGCUGUGGUGGACUUGGUAGCAAUCAUCCCCUUUGCUUUGUCUAGCCCAGGCUCAGGCAGGCUAUGUGAGGUGGCACAGCUGUGUGGUGACAGCUCCCAGCGCACCAAGGCACCGGGGCUGGGACCUGCCUGGCCUUGUGAGCCCGUGGUGCCGCUGUGCAGGGGCAGCAGGACCCACCCAUGUCCCGGUGGUGCACGGUGUCCCUGGCGGCACCCACGGGGCCCAGCAGCCCCUAAUGCCCUGCUCCCUGCUGAGCUGGAGCGGGUCUGUUGGCGGCCCUGUGACUUGAGCCUUUUUUUAUUUCUUCACCUGGAGAACUUUGAGAGUUGCCAAACACUUCAGACACUAUUUCUGGUAGUGAAGGGUACUAAAAAUGCGAUUGCCAACAAGUCAUAUUGUGGAGACUGUUCCCUUGUAUUUCUCAGGUGAUCCACCCUCCAGACCUGAUGUUAAAUACACCACCGUAAUGCUGAACACUAGUGUGGCUAGUGUCUGGCUGGUAACUCGCUGUAAUGAGUGAUGAAAAGGCUCCAAAAGGUGUGUUCACAAUUUUGUAGUCAAUAAUUCUUCCUACUAUCUGGUCUGCACAACUUUCAUUCUAAACCUUAUCUUACCAGCUAAAGGGAGAGCAGCAAGCAUCGCCCAGCCAGGCUGCAGACAGCAGCCGUGGUCUCCAGCAGCAUCCCUGCGGGGAGCUGCGGGCGGGUGGGGGGCUCAGAGGGGCUUGGGGCUCAGGAGGCUGUGCUCAGCAUCAGGAAAUCCAGAGUUACGGGUAGCAUCUUGGGGUCAGUUCUUAAUGUCUUGGCACAGGACUAGGGGAAGGCUGACAGUGGGAUGGGGACCAACAGCACCCAGCACAGAACGGGGGUCACCCCUCACCGCACUGCUCCGUGAGCUACAGCACCUUCCUGACAGCACUGAGCUGAGACCUUCCUUCAGAGAAAAAGGUCUGGAAGCUCCACGUAAAAACUGAGAGGGGAGAGAGAACCUGACUGAAUUGAGAUCUUUCUGCAUAACGAACUGCUUCGUACAGAACUAUAAAUGUUAAAACAUAAAAAUGACUGCCUGCACUUUGGAGCAAAUGUCUAAAGAUAAUUAAUGUACAGAGCCAAUUUUACUUGUGGUUAUUCCUUCAAGGUGUACGGCUGUUACUCUCAGGAGGAGAAGUUCUGCGUUAUAAAAUCCCGGAGUGGUGGCAGUAGCUUGAAGAUGCGCUGGUGGCAGUGGAGAGGUGCAGACACUUACUGUGGAAAUCCCAUGGAUAACCAGAGGCUGCAUGGCCGGGGCGUUACUCCUUGUGACAGAUACGGCUGGGCAGGAGGGCUGCACCCGGGCAGGGCUGACAGCACACCACCACCGCCAGCUUCAGCAGCAGCUGCAGCUCCUGCUCCCUGCCAGGCAGCGGGAUUCCAGCACAAACACUGAUAGGGGAAGUAAUCUGGCCUGCCUCAGGCUGGAGAGAAGCCCAGGAGAUAAGCUGUGUGCUGCAAUGAUUUCACAUGCGGGAAGUGCCCAGAUCUGAAAAGAAGGCUUGAAAUCGGUCAAUUCUUUCUUCCCAGUGUAAGAGUCCACUAUCUCUUGAUAGCGUUCCCAGGUGUUGGCUUUUUCUUUCUUUUUUAUUUAUUUUUCCUUAUAGGCACUUUAUUUUGAAGACUGCCUGGGGGGAAACAAGUUUGCCUUGGCAAGCCCAGCUUGCUUGCUUGGGUAAGUGGCAAUGCAGCCUGUUAACUCACGGGGAGAUGCGUGGCUGGAAGCCUGCUGCCUCCUGGAGCCCCAUGUCCCAGUGCCAAGGGAGUGUAAGGGAGCUGUGCCCUGGGGUGUCCAGCUGAGCCCCCUGCCCCUGUGCUGGUGGGGGGCUGGGGGUCACAGAGGUGGCUGUGUGCUGGCUGCAGGGAGCUGCUCGCAGCCAGGGCUGGGGGUAUGGGGCAGUAGACCCUGCACUGAGGCACCCAGUGCCCUACGGGAGGGCUGGGAGGGGGCAGCACUUCCUAAUGCUGCUUAUUGCAGGGGCAAAACCCACAGAACAGGAAUGCGUUCCCCUGUGUAAACAGAGGAGAUGUUUACUGUGACAGAGCUAAUUAGGCUCCUGGGAGAAUUUAUGCAGAGCUAAUAAGAAGCAGAACUAAACGUUGUCUUAAUUUACCCUCAAGCUCACAAAAAUGUUGUUCAUUCAUGUUGCACUAAUUAAGCCAGCAGCCAUUAACCCUUUCUUCAGAGGCAGAGACCCUUGGCACUGAAGAGGAGUUAAACCACAUCCUUCCCGAUGGGUGCUUUGGUGUUUCUGUGUAUCUUCAAACACGUACCUGGACCCAGUGGUGAGCACUGGAGGUGCUGCUGGCCCCGAGCAGCAAUCCUGCCCUCCCCAGCUCAGCGCAGACCCAGCCUGGUGCCUGCUGUGGAGCUGCUCAGCACCCCGGGCUGCGGCUGGGACGGGCUCAGAGCUCCAGCCCCAUCUUACAGCCUCCCUUUGUGCUGAGGAGCUGAUAGCACUGGAAGCCCUUGUGUGAGCCUGGUGGUUGCAUUCAGCUCCUCUGAAGUGAUAUUUGUCACACCGAGGUUGCUGCAAGAGGCAGCAGAGUGGAUGAGGACUUGGGCAGGUUCAGAGCACUUGGAGUUGCUUUGCUGUAGCUCAUCCUACAGCCAGCUGCCCUGACGGAGCUGUGUGAGGAGCACAGCAGCUCCCUGCACUGUGCUGAGGUGCACUACAAGAGUUCUGCCGUCAGGAGGACGGAAGGGGCACAAAAUGGUAUUUACUGUUCAUGUGCUUUAAAAGCAGAGAUGAGGCUGGUGGCUGAAGCACCACGUGGAGAGAUUUCCAUGUCUCAUGGUACAGAGCAAGAGCAUUGUGCACCCAUAUCGUGUAAGCAGGACGAGAACAAAAUACAAAACACGGUGUGUUUGUCAUUAUCUUGCCCGCUUGUGACCUCUUGGAACUGUGAAUAACAAUGCGAGAGGGGCACCACUGGCUCCCUCACCACAAAUCCUGUUCUCAGUUAACUGGAGCCUUAUAACUUGCAUGUAAGGUCUUGCACCAGCGUCAUGUUUUGUCUUGAGAUCUCCCUCCUGUUAUGAGGAAGGGAUAUUCCUUGUUCCCUUGUCAGGCACUGCAGUGCUCUCAAGAUUCUUUUUUUUGUUUGUUUGUUUUGUUUUGUUUGUUUGUUUUGUUGGUUUUGGUUGAUUUGUUUGUUUUCUGUUUGUUCCUGGUGAUGGUCCCACCAGAGAGCAGAGCCCCUGCCUCCUGGUGGGGCCAGGCUGCCGAACGGCCAGCAGCAGGAAUGAUAAGGACGUGUAAGCAGAGUUUUAUUAUAAUGUCUUUUACUUUGUAAUUUUAAUUGUAACAACUACCAAAAUGAUCGAUAGUUCAGUUCUUUAGUGUUAAUGCUUUUUUUAUAAACCAUUGAAAGACUCCAAGCAAAUGACAAAAAAUAAAGCUUUUAUGAACGUUUAAGCUAUUUUUCAUCAUUAACUAUUCAAAAUGCUUUUUAUUUCUUUGAUCACCUUAAUGUAAGAACUUGCAGUCAUAAAAUGCCAGCUAACCCUGUGACAGAAUGCAAAGCUCACUUUGUGUUUGCGUGUAUGUGUGUGAGAGCCCUUAGUGUCUGUGGGCAUGAUGCUGCCAGGCGUGCUUUGUGAUGUAUUUAAAUCAUAUUUGUAACUAUCGCUGCUGUUCUAAGGUAAGAACAGAAAUCAGAUCCUUUGGUGUUUUUUUUUUCUUUUUGUUAUAUACCAAAAAAAAAUGUGUUCACUACUUGAUGUAAGAUGACUGAAUUGGAGUGUAGGAGACGGUAUGGGUGAUGUUCAUUGUGUCGUUCUGCAGACUUUAGUGAUCAGAAUUCUGCAGAUAUCUGUGAAUCAGUUCCAAAAUUAUCUAUUAAAUCUGAAUGUGAGCCCUGGUGAGGCCACACCUGAAGUAAAUCAGCUGGGGAACACAAAUUUUAGCAAUUCAGAUGAAAGUCUUAUUCAUUUUAAGUGUUUCAAUACAAUUUUGAUAUCAUAUUGAGGUGCUAUCCGUAUUUGCAAUCAGAAUUUAUCAGAUCACUGGUGGCUAAUAGUUUUUUAUAUGACGCUUUUCAGAUAUAAUCUUCUCUCUCUCUUUUCUUUUCUUUUUUUUUUUUUUUUUUUUUUAAAUUGGAUUAUACUUGUAGUAGCAGUAAGAUGGCUGGAUAAGAUCAUCUUAGUGGGGCUAUUCCCUCUCGCUAGGUUUCCUACCACACCUGAUGUGAAACACUCCUCGCAGGAGUGCUGUGCUGGAUGGGGGUGCUGGAGGGGAGGCACCUCUCCGGUGACAUUUCCUAUGUUCAUGUAUGUCAGGGCCCUUCGCUGUUCAGAUGCGGUGACUGCAAUGAAGUCAAGGGAGUGGUCAGAGCGCUCAUGUGAUAUUGUAACCAGCUGUGUUAUCUUCAUUGACAGAAUCGUUGUUUGCUGUAGCAGGUGCCAAUUUACUCAAGUGUUCCAGCACUUCUCAGUGCCUGCUAAUUCUUCCUACAAGGAAACAGCUGGUGUGCAGAAGUCCUCUUUGGAGAAUGUUGUGGUUUGAUGUGGCAGGACAGAAGAUGAAGAGAAAUAAUAAUGAAAACACUGUUAGAAAGUACAAAGCAAGUGAUGCACAAUGCAAUUUAUCACCACCUGCCAACCCACUCCCAGCCCAUCCCUGAGCAGCAGUCUCCCCCCCACCCCUGGCAGCCACCCCCUAGGGCUUGCUCAGCGUGAUGCCAUAUGGGAUGGAGAGAAAUAUCCCUUGGGCCAGUUUGGGUCAGCUGUCCUGGCUCCGUCCCCUCCCAGUUCCUUGCACACCCCCAGCCCCCUUGCUGGCAGGGCAGAAUAGGAAACUGAAAGGUCCUUAACCUAGCACAAGCAGUGCUCAGCAACAACUGAACCGUCAGCGCCUUAUCAGUACUGUUCUCGUCCUAGAUGAGAAAUUUCAUCCUAGACGACGAACAUUCUGAAAUGCAGCACCGUACGGAAUCACAGAACCGAGGUGGGAAGGGACCUCUGAAAUCACCCAGUCCAACCCCCCUGCCCAGCAGGAUCACCCAGAACACCUUCCACAGGCUGGCACCCAGGCGGGGUUUGGAUAUCUCCAGUGAAGGGGACUGCACAGCCUCUCUGGGCAGCCUGUCCCAGUGCUCCAUCACCUCCCAGUAAAGGAGAGAUCCAACCUGUAAUUAGAUCACGUUGUAGAAAUGGGAAAAAGCCAGGCAAACAUUUAGGUGCACACCUUCUUCCUAGGAUCUGAAAAGAGAGGGGAAAAAAAAAAAAGGCAAGCCCAAAGCUUGUUAAAAAGCUAACUUAAGUUGACAACAGUGUUUUGAGUCUGAGAUAUGUAUCUGAUUAAUGUAUAAGCCUUGUAAAUGACUGAUGACUUGUGUUUUGCUUAAGUCUGUUUUCCAAAUUUCCACCUGCAAAUUUAAAAUAAAUAAAUGGAUUAAUUUCAGGAAUUUAGGUCAGGAAAAAUAUGCAAAAAUGAUAACUGGAAAUGAGAGAGAGAUUUACCUGAUAAUUGAAUAUGAAGCCGAUAGGAAAAAAAAAUAUCCUUUGUUAGUGAGGGCUCGUACUUAGGCAACAACAUGGGAGGUGGCAAAUAUUUGUUGGAGAGCGUAUUGAUUUUUUGUGCAUCAUUACAGUGUUGUAGGAUCGCCUACCUGCUCAGUCCUAACUGUUUGCCUUGCUUUCAUCCUUUUUCUGCACAGAU
Non-coding RNA from Anas platyrhynchos (mallard), 7320 nucleotides. Lineage: Eukaryota; Metazoa; Chordata; Aves; Anseriformes; Anatidae. The record is from RefSeq and is a predicted model, not a curated record.